AUUGAACGCUGGCGGCAUGCCUUACACAUGCAAGUCGAACGGCAGCACGGGAGCAAUCCUGGUGGCGAGUGGCGAACGGGUGAGUAAUAUAUCGGAACGUGCCCAGUCGUGGGGGAUAACGCAGCGAAAGCUGUGCUAAUACCGCAUACGAUCUACGGAUGAAAGCGGGGGACCGCAAGACCUCGCGCGAUUUGAGCGGACGAUAUCAGAUUAGCGAGUUGGUGAGGUAAAGGCUCACCAAGGCGACGAUCUGUAGCUGGUCUGAGAGGACGACCAGCCACACUGGAACUGAGACAAGGUCCAGACUCCUACGGGAGGCAGCAGUGGGGAAUUUUGGACAAUGGGCGAAAGCCUGAUCCAGCAAUGCCGCGUGCAGGAUGAAGGCCUUCGGGUUGUAAACUGCUUUUGUACGGAACGAAACGGUAAGCUCUAUACAGUUUGCUAAUGACGGUACCGUAAGAACAAGCACCGGCUAACUACGUGCCAGCCGCCGCAGUAA
RNAcentral lists this ribosomal RNA (499 nucleotides) under uncultured bacterium. RNAcentral's name for it is "partial 16S ribosomal RNA". It matches the Rfam family "Bacterial small subunit ribosomal RNA", at positions 30 to 523 of the family's 1533-position model. The record is from RNAcentral.